CAGGAAAUGUGCAUACACGAGCAACUUUCAUCAGUAAAGUAUUGUCCAAAUUUAGAGAAGUAUGGUUGGGAAAUGAGCAGAAAACAAGUAUCUCACAAUAUUACAGAUUGCUGGAUUGGGUGGUUCGGCCUGUUCCUUCCUGUUCUGUGGCACAGGAUGAAAGCUGGCAGACACUGUGCAGAGCUUCUACUUUUGUGGUAUCCAGCCCACUGAAAUCAAAGACACAUCACUCUAUCUCACAAAAGAAUUCUCCAGGAGCAUCAAAGCUGAAUUUACUGGAGACUCCUCUUGUGGCUAAGGUUAUUGAAGACAGUGCAGUGAAGGUAUAAAAACUUAAGAAGCAGCACCUAAACCACCUAAAUUAUAUGGUGAACUACAUCCAUAAGGCAAUCUUCAAUGCAGCUAUGAUACUAUAAAGCAUCAGUUUUUAUGUGGUUUGCCUGAUAAUAAAAAUGGUGAAUGUGA
This is a long non-coding RNA of Neopelma chrysocephalum (saffron-crested tyrant-manakin), 465 nucleotides long. RefSeq lists it as uncharacterized. Lineage: Eukaryota; Metazoa; Chordata; Aves; Passeriformes; Pipridae. The transcript is spliced from 3 exons. The record is from RefSeq and is a predicted model, not a curated record.